This 301-nucleotide ribosomal RNA is filed under the name uncultured bacterium. RNAcentral's name for it is "partial 16S ribosomal RNA". It matches the Rfam family "Bacterial small subunit ribosomal RNA", at positions 509 to 807 of the family's 1533-position model. The record is from RNAcentral.
CAGUAGCCGCGGGAAUACGAAGGGGGCUAGCGUUGUUCGGAUUUACUGGGCGUAAAGCGCACGUAGGCGGCUUUGUAAGUUAGAGGUGAAAGCCCGGAGCUCAACUCCGGAAUUGCCUUUAAGACUGCAGAGCUAGCAGGUGAGAGAGGUGAGUGGAAUUCCGAGUGUAGAGGUGAAAUUCGUAGAUAUUCGGAAGAACACCAGUGGCGAAGGCGGCUCACUGGCUCAUACUGGACGCUGAGGUGCGAAAGCGUGGGGAGCAAACAGGAUUAGAUACCCGGGUAGUCCCUGUCUCUUAUAC